RNAcentral lists this ribosomal RNA (859 nucleotides) under uncultured bacterium. RNAcentral describes it as "bacterial SSU rRNA". It matches the Rfam family "Bacterial small subunit ribosomal RNA", at positions 28 to 860 of the family's 1533-position model. The record is from RNAcentral.
GAUGAUGCAGCUACAGGCUUAACACAUGCAAGUCGAGCGGAACACUUUCGGGUGUUUAGCGGCAGACGGGUGAGUAACACGUAUCUAACUCCCUCCCUUACUCGGGUAUAGCCUCGGGAAACUGAGAGUAAUCCCCGAUGUGGUGCACGGAGAGCAUUUUUUGCGCACGAAAGAUUUAUCGGUAAGGGGUGGGGAUGCGCUCCAUUAGGUAGUAGGCGGGGUAACGGCCCACCUAGCCGAUGAUGGAUAGGGGUUCUGAGAGGAAGGGCAGCAUGAUCAAAGCUUGCUUUGAUUGAUGGCGACCGGUUACUGGAGGCAGCAGUGAGGAAUAUUGGUCAAUGGGCGAGAGCCUGAACCAGCCAAGUAGCGUGCAGGAUGACGGCCCUAUGGGUUGUAAACUGCUUUUAUAUGGGGAUAAAGUGAGGGACGUGUCCCAGUGAGGACCAAGGAAAAGGACCGGCUAAUUCCGUGCAGCAGCCGCGGUAAUACGGAAUGUUCUGGUCGUAUCCGAUUUAUUGGGGUUUAAAGGGAGCGCAGGCUGACUCUCUCACACCGUGACGUGAAAUGUAGCCCCCUCCACGCUGAACUGCGUCCCGAACUGGCAGUCUUGAUGAAUACCAACGUCCGCGAUCCUGUGUGGUAGCCGGUGAAUGCUUAAAAUUCACAGAAACCCCGAUGCAUGCACCCUGACAAGUCUUUACUGACCUAAGCUCGAAGGUGCGGUAUCGACAGAUAAAAUCUGUAUCGCCGUUAACAUGAUGCCGGUUGCAUAUGUCCGGCAACGAAGUUAGCUCCCUGGAUACGGCACGAACCAAGAUACGGCCCACGGAACUGUUAUACGGAUACGGAACUCACGUGA